This is a small nuclear RNA of Cricetulus griseus (Chinese hamster), 161 nucleotides long. Its record names the gene U1. It matches the Rfam family "U1 spliceosomal RNA". From Rfam's summary of the family: U1 is a small nuclear RNA (snRNA) component of the spliceosome (involved in pre-mRNA splicing). Its 5' end forms complementary base pairs with the 5' splice junction, thus defining the 5' donor site of an intron. The record is from Ensembl. NCBI's taxonomy places the organism in Eukaryota, Metazoa, Chordata, Mammalia, Rodentia, Cricetidae.
AUACGUCCCUAGCAGGGCAGAAUAUUAUGAUCAUGUUGGUGGUAUCCCCAGGGCAAGGUUCACCCAUUGCACUUGCAUUGUGCUGACCCCUGAGAGUUCCCCCAAAAUGGGAAACUGGACUGAAAAAUGCAUGGUUCAACCUCUCUCCUAGGGGAAAAAUA